UACGGAAGGUCCGGGCGUUAUCCGGAUUUAUUGGGUUUAAAGGGAGCGUAGACGGAAGAGCAAGUCUGAUGUGAAAGGCUGGGGCUUAACCCCGUGAUGGGAUGGAAACUGGAAAGCUGGAGUAUCGGAGAGGAAAGUGGAAUUCCUAGUGUAGCGGUGAAAUGCGUAGAGAUUAGGAAGAACACCGGUGGCGAAGGCGACUUUCUGGACGACAACUGACGCUGAGGCGCGAAAGCGUGGGGAGCAAACAGG
This 252-nucleotide ribosomal RNA is filed under the name Dialister succinatiphilus YIT 11850. Its description in RNAcentral is "partial 16S ribosomal RNA". It matches the Rfam family "Bacterial small subunit ribosomal RNA", at positions 524 to 776 of the family's 1533-position model. Lineage: Bacteria; Bacillati; Bacillota; Negativicutes; Veillonellales; Veillonellaceae. The record is from RNAcentral.